This 484-nucleotide ribosomal RNA is filed under the name uncultured bacterium. Its description in RNAcentral is "partial 16S ribosomal RNA". It matches the Rfam family "Bacterial small subunit ribosomal RNA", at positions 29 to 507 of the family's 1533-position model. The record is from RNAcentral.
AUUGAACGCUGGCGGAAUGCUUUACACAUGCAAGUCGAGCGGCAGCGCGGCCUUCGGGCUGGCGGCGAGCGGCGAACGGGUGGGUAAUGCAUCGGAACAUGCCCAGUCGUGGGGGAUAACACUUCGAAAGAAGUGCUAAUACCGCAUACGUCCUGAGGGGGAAAGCGGGGGAUCGCAAGACCUCGCGCGAUUGGAGUGGCCGAUGUCAGAUUAGCUAGUUGGUGGGGUAAAGGCCUACCAAGGCGACGAUCUGUAGCUGGUCUGAGAGGAUGAUCAGCCACACUGGGACUGAGACACGGCCCAGACUCCUACGGGAGGCAGCAGUGGGGAAUUUUGGACAAUGGGGGCAACCCUGAUCCAGCCAUUCCGCGUGAGUGAAGAAGGCCUUCGGGUUGUAAAGCUCUUUCGGCAGGAACGAAACGGUGGGCUCUAACAUAGUCCGCUAAUGACGGUACCUGAAGAAGAAGCACCGGCUAACUACGUG